GUCCUGACUCCGCAGGAGUGUCAACUUGUAGAUUUAGACAACUGGAAACUACAAGGACAUAAUCAAAAACAGAAAACCGUGGUUCCCAGGAAGCAGCACUCUGUCUCACCAAGAGACAUUUGAAAAUGACUACGAACUCUGAAGAAUCUUCAGGAGAUGGAGAAUCGUAAGACACCAAUGAGAUGAAAUGAAGAGUUUGCCUAAGUCUCAACAAUAUCUCAAACUAUGGAAUUGUAGGAUGAAUGUCUGAGACAUUUAAGAUGAUACAUAUUUACCAUUUAAGUAUAACGCAACAUGACUCCAUCAAGCUGUGCAAGAGAAACCUCUGAGCAAUAAACUUUCCUUCUGG
Sinocyclocheilus rhinocerous is the source of this 349-nucleotide long non-coding RNA. RefSeq lists it as uncharacterized. The record is from RefSeq and is a predicted model, not a curated record. The transcript has 3 exons. NCBI's taxonomy places the organism in Eukaryota, Metazoa, Chordata, Actinopteri, Cypriniformes, Cyprinidae.